Rattus norvegicus (Norway rat) is the source of this 3100-nucleotide non-coding RNA. The record is from RefSeq and is a predicted model, not a curated record. Lineage: Eukaryota; Metazoa; Chordata; Mammalia; Rodentia; Muridae.
CAAAACUGCUGUUGAGGGAUUGUGGAAGCUAGCUCCAUGGAAGAAGUGGGAAAGAAGGGGCAACACAUACAGUGCUCUUGCGGCUGUAAUUUGUUUGACAAGUUUUGAAGUUUCUGGUUCCAUAUAUAGCGAUUUAAUUUGAUCAGUCAUUUUCCCCUACAGGCACUCUUCCUGGCGUCUUCGUAUAUUUAUUGCUCUUCUGGGAAGACGUAAAAGUUUUUAAGAUGGGAAGCAUGGGAAACUGUAUUCAGUGGGAACCGGAUAUGGUUCUGCCCCUUCCUAAUUGAGAUAGUGUCCGGGAUUCAGCAGAACUUGGCACUAUAAAAGCAGCCGCUGUCUAUUGUAACUCUAGUGCUCCCCGCUGAAGUUAGAUACUUAGUGAGUGAGAUGCGUUGAGUACAGGUAUUUAAAUGAAUAUAUUAAUGUAAGUUGCAAAUUCAUUGGUCAGAAUGUUUUGUUUUUACUGAAGUUGCAAACUCAUACUUAAUGUCUUGCUGGAAGCAUUGCCACUCAUAAAACACUACAUCUCUUUAGAGAAGUAGGAGAGAAAGGAACGAAGUUCUGUGACUUACAGGUGUGAUUGAGAGCCCCCAGACUAAAUACUAACUUGUUCCUUAGAAUUAUUAGAUUUAUUUAUUUACAUAUAAAUUUUAUAUGUAAUAUGCAAGUAUAUAUUUUAUAUAUUUACUAUAUCUAAGACACUACAUUAAAGUAAACAAAAUAUUUUUGCUCUUAGCAUUUUGGUAGUGGCUGAUACCAUAUUCCGUCUGGAAAUUAAUAUUGGUAGUUGAUUGUGACAUGAUCAGGUCAAAUGGCUCUCCUCCUAUAAGUUAGAGUUGUCUCCUUAAAGUGUUCUUUUCAUAAAUGGGUACGUAUAUAUAAUGUAGGUUGAUCUUGAUGAAAGGAAAGUGUUGAGAUGGGAAGUAGUAAUAAUAGGCCAAACAUGUUUUAUAGAUCUUUCACAUCAAUCAUAGUUGACCCCUAGAAUUUCACUAGCAUUGGUGAAUACUAGGGAAAAAGAUUUGCUUCAUAUAUUGACACUUUCUGAACGCUUUGAAAGUUUUCUUUUCAAGGGUCAGCUUCUUUGAGAGGCUUAAGAAAUGACUUUAAAAUAACUAGGGAGGCAUUUUGUAAUAUUAGUCCACUUUUGACUAGUGUGGGUAUUGUAUUAUAUUGUAAUUUGAAAAUUCAUUGGUCACAAGGCUUUGUUUUUGAUGCAUUUGGAAAUUUCAACUUAGAUCUAUUUUGAUUCUAGCUAGCUAUGGUGAAAGGAUGUUGUGUUUCUUUUAAUGUUAUUUAACACAAAGUAAUUUUUUUAUUUUAAUUUUUCUCUAAUUUGUAUCUGUUUAUUGCUCUUUGUUCCAGAAAUGUUCUGAAAGGUUUAAAAAAUUGCAGCACACUGUAUACCUUUUUGAAAAAAUCAAUUAUGUUUUAUUAAGAUAAAAUAUAGUUUUUACUGCUGAAAGAAUAUAGUAUUAUAUCAUUUUUGUAAUUGAGUUAGGCAUAUUUAGAAUUUUAUUAAAGCCUUUUGAAGAUUUAAUUAUUUUUAUUUAAUGUGUAUGAGUGUUUGCCUGCAUGUAUGUAUAUGUACUAUGCUAGUGUCUAGUGACAAGAGGCCAGAAGAGGGCAUCAGGUUCCCUAGAACUGGAGUUACUGGUGGUUGUGAACUGUUUUGUAGGUGAUGGGAAUCAAAUACUGCUUUUCUACAGAAACAGCAAGUGCUCUUUUUGCUGAGCAAUCUCUCUAGUCCCAGAAUAAUGUUCUUAAAUUAUUUCUAAUAGAUUCCUUUUAUUUUAUUUUAUUUUAUUUUAUUUUAUUUUAUUUUUUUAAGGCAGGCUCGAAUUCUAGUAUAAGAUGACCUAGAACUCUCUGUGUAGCCCAAGCUAUCCAUGGAUUUGUGGUGAUUCUGCUUAGCAUCUAAAGUACUGGAAAAUAAUAGACUUGAGCCACUAUAUUCACUAGCUUCUAAUAGGCCUUUCAAGAGGAAUUGAAAAUUCACAGCAAAAUUGAGUGAUAAGAUAUAGAUUGUUUUUAAGAAAAAGCAUGAUUAUUUGGGAGAAAUUUUGUUUCUAUUAAUAUUUUUCAUUAUUUUAAAAUAUAUUUAGAAAUAAAUAUAAAGUUUACUAAGUGUUCAUAUUCAAAAAGUCUUCUAUACUCCAUAUAUAUGUAUAUUUGUUAUUUUUGAGGUUACAAUUUAAUUAGUUUUUCUCUUCCUUUCCUCCUUCCAAACCCUUUCAUAUAGUCCUUUCUGCCCUCCUUUAAAUCCAUGACCUCUUUUUAAAAAUUGUUACUUAAUGCAUUUUUUUCUAUUCGUUUAUACAUAUAUAUUCCCGAAUAUAACCUGUUGGGUCAUAUAUAACUUUCAUACUUCUUGUAGUGUUGUGAAUCAAAUCCAGGGCUUUACAUGUAGUAGACAAAAUAUUUGCCAGUGAGUUACUAGGCAAAUUUUCUAGUAUGCUUUUAAAAUUAACUACUAAGUAUACAAAUCCAUUUCUUCUUUUCCUUUUUAAAAUAAGCUUUAUUCUUCUUGUCACAGGUCCUCUAGGUCUUCUACUUAGUGGUUCCAUUACCAUCUCUUCUACUUGGUGUGUCCUCAAAUUAAAUCCUGGCUGGAUAUGCGAUAUUGUAGGAUAUAGAGCAUCUUUGUAGUUGAUCCAAAGUUUGGUUUUAUAGUUGUCAAUGCUGAGACUAUUUCUCGUGGGAGAUACAGGGUAAGAGAAAAGGCAAAUCCAAAUUGCUUCCAUAAGCAUUACAUGGUGAAUUGCCUUUCAUUUAUCUAUUCAUUACCAUAUAUAUUAUAUUAUUAAAUAUAAAAUAUAAUUACAUGUAUAUUUUUGCUUCUGUUGUCUUAAUAGUUUUUAAGACCAUACUGAGUAUCAGUGUAAGUUAUGGUGCAUUGUCUGAAUGUGUAGAUACUUGUAUGGUAGGUGUAGAACCUUGAAAUUACAUGGAGUGUGUUAUGUUUUGGAGUGAGUUUAAGUUAUUAUAACAGCUUAAUUAUCACCUCUUUGUAUGUCUUAAUAUAUUUCAACAGGAUUUGAGGCAUUUUGGUGAUUUAUUUUUAAGUGAGUUAAAAAUGAACAUCACAGGGGAAAAAGAA